AAUUUAUUUUUUUUUAAUUUUAGGUAUUGCAUAUCAUUUAAGGAAAAUUUUAUAGUAAUAAAUAAUAAAACUAAAAGGUAGAAAAAUUUGUUAUUUUUAUUGUUUCAUAAUAAAAGUUAUAAUUUUUAGUGUUGAAAUGUCGACUUUUAGGAUAUUUGUGUUUUUAUAAUAAUUAGAAAUUUAUUAUAAUAGUUGAAAUUUAUAUAAAUAGUAAAAGUUAAAGUAUUUUUGUUUUUAGUUUUAUAACUGUUUAUUUAAGAUUUAUUGUUGUUUUUUUUUGUUUAUAUAAUAAGUUUUUAUUAUAUAUAUUAUUUUAAAAUUAGUAGGUUUAAAAGUUGUGUGUAUAUUAAUAAUUUAAUAAAAGAACUCAGAGAUUAAUCAAAUGUUUUUUAAAGACUUAGAUUUUUAAGUAAAGUUGGCUUCUGCCCAGUGAUGAAAAUUAAAUGGCAGUCUUAGCGUGAGGACAUUAAGGUAGCAAAAUAAUUUGUGCUUUUAUUGGGUUCCAGUAUGAAUGAAGUUAUUGGUUAAUGUAUAUUUUAAUUUUAAGGUGAAUUUUUAAUUAAUAUAAAAAAAUAUUGUUAUAAUAAAACAAAGAUAAGUCUUUGGAAAUUCUUUUUUAAAAACUGAUUAAUCAGUUUUUAAAAAUUUUCUAGGGUAGAAUUUUAUAUAAUUAUUUUAUCUAAUAAUAAUUUAAAGAAUUACUCCAGAGUUAACAGAAAAUCAUACCUAAUCUAGUACUUAUAGUAAGGUAAGUUUUACAUCGAUGUUGUAUUUAAGUUUAUUAAAAAAGGAGAAGAUUUAAAAUUUAAGACUGUUCUUCUUUUAAUUAAUUUAACGUGAUAUUAGUUUAAUUCAUUGUAAGAUAGAAUUGUUUAUCUUGUUUAUUAUUUUUUUUUAGUUUUAAUAGUACGAAAGGAAAAUUAAAAAAAGUUUUAAACUUUUAAAGUUUGGUAGCUU
RNAcentral lists this ribosomal RNA (957 nucleotides) under Parazoniolaimus collaris. RNAcentral describes it as "large subunit ribosomal RNA". The record is from RNAcentral. Lineage: Eukaryota; Metazoa; Nematoda; Chromadorea; Rhabditida; Strongylidae.